RNAcentral lists this transfer RNA (75 nucleotides) under Alphaproteobacteria bacterium. Its description in RNAcentral is "tRNA-Asn". It matches the Rfam family "tRNA". From Rfam's summary of the family: Transfer RNA (tRNA) molecules are approximately 80 nucleotides in length. Their secondary structure includes four short double-helical elements and three loops (D, anti-codon, and T loops). RNAcentral also lists the same sequence under 1 other name. Lineage: Bacteria; Pseudomonadati; Pseudomonadota; Alphaproteobacteria. The record is from RNAcentral.
UCCGGCGUAGCUCAGCGGUAGAGCAUCGGACUGUUAAUCCGCAGGUCGCUGGUUCGAUCCCAGCCGCCGGAGCCA